RNAcentral lists this small RNA (535 nucleotides) under Pan troglodytes (chimpanzee). RNAcentral describes it as "processed transcript". The record is from RNAcentral. Lineage: Eukaryota; Metazoa; Chordata; Mammalia; Primates; Hominidae.
CCAUACCAGAUUCUGUGGCCUGCAGGUGACAUGCUGCCUAAGAGAAGCAGGAGAACAGUCAGCAAAAGCAUUGGUCCCACCUGCCCCUUUGCUGGAAGCUGUGAAGUCAGCAAGACUCAGAGGCGCCACUGCCCAGCCUGCAGGUUGCAGAAGUGCUUAGAUGCUGGCAUGAGGAAAGACACCUCCAGCUCAUCUGUUCAUCCAUCACCAGCCCUUGCCCACCCUGGCCCCUGUGCUGCCUCUGGUCACACACUUCGCAGACAUCAACACUUUCAUGGUACUGCAAGUCAUCAAGUUUACUAAGGACCUGCCCGUCUUCCGUUCCCUGCCCAUUGAAGACCAGAUCUCCCUUCUCAAGGGAGCAGCUGUGGAAAUCUGUCACAUCGUACUCAAUACCACUUUCUGUCUCCAAACACAAAACUUCCUCUGCGGGCCUCUUCGCUACACAAUUGAAGAUGGAGCCCAUGGUGAGAUGGUGCUAGAGCAAUAGGGGGCAUGUGUCCUCAUGGUACAGUAUGUGGUCAGGUGACCUAGA